RNAcentral lists this ribosomal RNA (460 nucleotides) under uncultured bacterium. Its description in RNAcentral is "partial 16S ribosomal RNA". It matches the Rfam family "Bacterial small subunit ribosomal RNA", at positions 338 to 795 of the family's 1533-position model. The record is from RNAcentral.
CCUACGGGUGGCAGCAGUGAGGAAUAUUGGUCAAUGGCCGGGAGGCUGAACCAGCCAAGUCGCGUGAGGGAAGACGGCCCUACGGGUUGUAAACCUCUUUUAUGCGGGGAUAAAGGUGUCCACGCGUGGCUGUUUGCAGGUACCGCAUGAAUAAGGACCGGCUAAUUCCGUGCCAGCAGCCGCGGUAAUACGGAAGGUCCGGGCGUUAUCCGGAUUUAUUGGGUUUAAAGGGAGCGUCGGCGGGUCUUUAAGCGUGCCGUGAAAUUUUGUGGCUCAACCAUGCGAGUGCGGCGCAAACUGGAGACCUUGAGUGCGCGGAAGGCAUGCGGAAUUCGUGGUGUAGCGGUGAAAUGCUUAGAUAUCACGAAGAACCCCGAUUGCGAAGGCAGCCUGCCGCAGCGUUACUGACGCUGAAGCUCGAAAGCGCGGGUAUCGAACAGGAUUAGAUACCCUGGUAGUC